Morus notabilis is the source of this 881-nucleotide long non-coding RNA. RefSeq lists it as uncharacterized. The record is from RefSeq and is a predicted model, not a curated record. The transcript has 4 exons. Lineage: Eukaryota; Viridiplantae; Streptophyta; Magnoliopsida; Rosales; Moraceae.
UCUCCUCAAAGUCUUUUUGCACCCAUCUCUCUCGUCGAGCUCGCAUCUUUCUCCUCUUCCUUUUCAUUUGUUUCCCUUCUGCCUUUCGCUCUUAUCUCUCUCUCUCUGCAACUCUCAUUCCUCCGAAAAUUUCUCACUUGUUUUCAUUUCUGGUGAGCUUUCAAGAGACACGAGAACACAAGCCCACCACCCAAUACCCGGAAAAAGGAAAAAAGAGAGGAAGAGAAACGAAAUCAUCUCGUUCACCAUCCAAGCCAAGUAGUGGGUUUGCUGCAGAAAUAUUCCAUGACUUGCAUGGAGAAGUGAUGGCGACUGCUACAAAGAGGACAUGGUCUAAUGGCUCGCGUUCAACAACUGGAAGCAGAAUUUCCUCCCAUUGUGAAGGCACUCUUGUCACAAACUAAUCUUCAUUUUUCUGAAACAGAAUUUCCUCCCAUUGAGAAGACACUCUUGUCACAAACUAAUCUUCAUUUUUCUGCAAUGCCGGUGUUGAUUGGCAUCCCAAUUUGCGUUAUGAACAAAAUCUAAUUGCCUGUGGAGACUUGCCUCGCUUUGUAAUGGACUCUAAUGAGGAGGCCCAGGGCCCACCGCGGUUAUUCCUUUUGUACAAGAGCAUGUGAUAAUGAUCCAUCGUUCUUCAAGAUAGAAGCAACAUCAUUUGUAAUCACAACUGUAGAGAUUCAGCGAGAAAAGAAGAACCGCAAAGUGAAGGUAUUAUAAUGAAAUGACUGUCACUGCAAUAAACAUACAAACUUUUGUGGCAAUGUGGGAAGUUAAAGAUUAUUAAACUAUUUAAAAUUGUAACACAUCUAUUUAUAUUUGUCUCCAAAUAUGAAUACUUAGAAGACCUAAUUAUGUAGAUUUUGAGUAAAAUCAAAACU